RNAcentral lists this transfer RNA (73 nucleotides) under Candidatus Omnitrophota bacterium. RNAcentral describes it as "Candidatus Omnitrophica bacterium (groundwater metagenome) tRNA-Arg". It matches the Rfam family "tRNA". From Rfam's summary of the family: Transfer RNA (tRNA) molecules are approximately 80 nucleotides in length. Lineage: Bacteria; Pseudomonadati; Candidatus Omnitrophota. The record is from RNAcentral.
GCGCCCGUAGCUCAGCGGAUAGAGCGCCAGCCUCCGGAGCUGGAUGUCGUGGGUUCAAAUCCCGCCGGGCGCG